ACCUCAAGUCAUGUGAGAGUACUCGCUGAACUUAAGCAUAUCACUAAGCGGAGGAAAAGAAACUAACAAGGAUUCCCCUAGUAACGGCGAGUGAAGCGGGAAGAGCACAAAUUUAAAAUCUACCUGGUUUUCAGGUCGAGUUGUAAUUUGAAGAUACGUUUUUGACGUUCAGGGUUGGACUAAAUCCUUUGGGAUAAGGUAUCAUGGAGGGUGAGAAUCCCGUAUAUACCAACCAUAGGGAUGUUAUUUAAUACGUUUCUAAGAGUCGAGUUGUUUGGGAAUGCAGCUCUAAAUGGGUGGUAAAUUUCACCUAAUGCUAAAUAUAAGCGAGAGACCGAUAGCGAACAAGUACAGUGAUGGAAAGAUGAAAAGAACUUUGAAAAGAGAGUUAAAUAGUACGUGAAAUUGUUGAAAGGGAAACGAUUGAAGUCAGUCAUGCCGGUGGGAAUCAACUUAGGGGAAACUCUAAGUGCACUUCUUCGCUUGGCAGGUCAACGUCGAUUUUGGAUGUCAUAAAAUGAUUGGGGGAAGGUAGCUCCUUAGGGAGUGUUAUAGCCCUUGGUAGAUGUGAUGUCUGGGAUCGAGGAUUGCAAUGGAUACCCUUUGGGGCUAGCUGCCUGAUCUCUAAUUGGUAUUGGGUUACGGAUAGCAUGCUGACCGUGAUCUAAUUAUUGGUUAAAAGGUUAGAGCGUGCAUAAAUUCAUUAAGGACGUUGACGUAAUGGCUUUAAACGACCCGUCUUGAAACACGGACCAAGGAGUCUAACAUGUAUGCGAGUGUU
Molecule: ribosomal RNA, 781 nt
Filed under: Gigaspora rosea
Lineage: Eukaryota; Fungi; Glomeromycota; Glomeromycetes; Diversisporales; Gigasporaceae
Description: eukaryotic LSU rRNA
Rfam family: Eukaryotic large subunit ribosomal RNA
Source: RNAcentral